CCUGGCGGCAAUAGCGCAGUGGAACCACCUGACCCCAUGCCGAACUCAGAAGUGAAACGCUGUAGCGCCGAUGGUAGUGUGGC
Molecule: ribosomal RNA, 83 nt
Filed under: Aeromonas caviae
Lineage: Bacteria; Pseudomonadati; Pseudomonadota; Gammaproteobacteria; Aeromonadales; Aeromonadaceae
Also listed under: 2 other names
Source: RNAcentral